AGCAGCAGAGCGUUCACUCUCCUUUUCUCUUCGUGUUCCACAAUGUUCUGGGGCUUCAUGGAGUUGUACUGUAUGCGCUGCACCUCGGCAGAGAAACACCUGAGCUAUAGCAAAGCUGAAGCUGGGAUAAUGCACAGGCAGGGAGUCAAACCUGGAAUUUCUGCUCCAUGGGUGCACCAAUGGCUCAGCACAGCUCCCAGAGCCAUAUCAGUGACUUAGAGAGCCCACGGACAGUGCUGACAGUGACGUACCUUUCUGUCCCAUGACUUGGUGCUUCUGUAGGAGAGGUGGGUUGUAGGACCUGUGCUUUUAUUGCUCUCUGUUUUCUUCUUCCUGAUAGCUUCCAGCUUUUCAUUUUUCAGGCGCAUCUCCUCCAGCUGCUGCCUGCCACAGAACAGCACAGUCACUCACUGGCUCAGAGCCACAAUAGCAAAAGGCUGUGGGGCAGAUUUCAACCUGAGGACAUUUUCUGCAGGCCCAAGUUCUGUAUGAAUACCCAUAAUAGAAGUGGGCCAAGAGAGGGAAUGGGAAGCUUGUAAAGAGACUUUUAAAAAGA
Molecule: long non-coding RNA, 556 nt
Organism: Haemorhous mexicanus (house finch)
Lineage: Eukaryota; Metazoa; Chordata; Aves; Passeriformes; Fringillidae
Exons: 2
Source: RefSeq, a predicted model, not a curated record